GGGAAUUUUCCGCAAUGGGCGAAAGCCUGACGGAGCGACGCCGCGUGCAGGAUGAAGGCCUUCGGGUUGUAAACUGCUUUUCUUAAGGACGAACAAAUGACGGUACUUAAGGAAUAAGGGGCUGCUAAAUUCGUGCCAGCAGCAGCGGUAAUACGAAUGCCCCAAGCGUUAUCCGGAUUUAUUGGGCGUAAAGGGUCCGCAGGCGGUCUUAUAAGUCAUAUGUUAAAUCUUCGGGCUCAACCCGAAAACUGCGUGUGAUACUGUAAGACUAGAGGACGGGAGAGGUACACGGAAUUGCUGGUGUAGGGGUAAAAUGCGUUAAUAUCGGCAAGAACACCAAAGGCGAAGGCAGUGUACUGGUACAGUUCUGACGCUCAGGGACGAAAGCGUGGGUAGCGAAAGGGAUUAGAUACCCCUGUAGUCA
This 424-nucleotide ribosomal RNA is filed under the name uncultured cyanobacterium. RNAcentral's name for it is "bacterial SSU rRNA". It matches the Rfam family "Bacterial small subunit ribosomal RNA", at positions 357 to 796 of the family's 1533-position model. The record is from RNAcentral. Lineage: Bacteria; Bacillati; Cyanobacteriota.